RNAcentral lists this ribosomal RNA (956 nucleotides) under Bacillus stratosphericus. RNAcentral describes it as "bacterial SSU rRNA". It matches the Rfam family "Bacterial small subunit ribosomal RNA", at positions 100 to 1039 of the family's 1533-position model. The record is from RNAcentral. Lineage: Bacteria; Bacillati; Bacillota; Bacilli; Caryophanales; Bacillaceae.
GACGGGUGAGUAACACGUGGGUAACCUGCCUGUAAGACUGGGAUAACUCCGGGAAACCGGAGCUAAUACCGGAUAGUUCCUUGAACCGCAUGGUUCAAGGAUGAAAGACGGUUUCGGCUGUCACUUACAGAUGGACCCGCGGCGCAUUAGCUAGUUGGUGAGGUAACGGCUCACCAAGGCGACGAUGCGUAGCCGACCUGAGAGGGUGAUCGGCCACACUGGGACUGAGACACGGCCCAGACUCCUACGGGAGGCAGCAGUAGGGAAUCUUCCGCAAUGGACGAAAGUCUGACGGAGCAACGCCGCGUGAGUGAUGAAGGUUUUCGGAUCGUAAAGCUCUGUUGUUAGGGAAGAACAAGUGCAAGAGUAACUGCUUGCACCUUGACGGUACCUAACCAGAAAGCCACGGCUAACUACGUGCCAGCAGCCGCGGUAAUACGUAGGUGGCAAGCGUUGUCCGGAAUUAUUGGGCGUAAAGGGCUCGCAGGCGGUUUCUUAAGUCUGAUGUGAAAGCCCCCGGCUCAACCGGGGAGGGUCAUUGGAAACUGGGAAACUUGAGUGCAGAAGAGGAGAGUGGAAUUCCACRUGUAGCGGUGAAAUGCGUAGAGAUGUGGAGGAACACCAGUGGCGAAGGCGACUCUCUGGUCUGUAACUGACGCUGAGGAGCGAAAGCGUGGGGAGCGAACAGGAUUAGAUACCCUGGUAGUCCACGCCGUAAACGAUGAGUGCUAAGUGUUAGGGGGUUUCCGCCCCUUAGUGCKGCAGCUAACGCAUUAAGCACUCCGCCUGGGGAGUACGGUCGCAAGACUGAAACUCAAAGGAAUUGACGGGGGCCCGCACAAGCGGUGGAGCAUGUGGUUUAAUUCGAARCAACGCGAAGAAMCUUACCRGGUCUUGACAUCCUCUGACAACCCUWAGAGAUAGGGCUUUCCCUUUCGGGGAACAGAGUGACAGGU